UGAUAAUUCACCUGUUCCUCUGCUACUAAUUGAGCUGCUCUCUGUUUCCAUGGCUGGCUCAUGGGAUGAGAGAAUAUAUCUAGUUUUUUAUGUUUCAAUUUGUCUCUCUAUGGCAUUUUUGUGAAAAUAAGGAAGUGUGGAGACUUAUAUAUGUUUCUAAAUUAUAAUAGUUCAUUAAUGUAAAGUACAGACACAGUCUUCACUUUUCCUUCUUAGACCGUUUAAAUAUGGCCACGAAACAAGUAGUCUCUGGUUGGCUGGGCACUGUGGCUCAUGUCCUUAACACCAACACUUUGGGAGGCCGAGGCAGGCAAAUCACUUGAGAUCAGGAGUUCGAGACCAGCCUGGCCAAUGUGGCAAAACCCCAUCUCUUCUAAAAAUACAAAAAUUAGUUGAGUGCGGUGGUGCACACCGGUAAUCCCAGUUACUCGAGAAGCUGAGGCAGGAGAAUCACUUGAACCUGGAAGGCAGAGGUUGCAGUGAGCCAAGACCGCACCACUACACUCCAGCCUGGGCAAUAGAGCAAGACUCCAUCUCAAAAAAAAAAAAAAGAAAAAGAAAAAAGAAAAUAGUCUCUGGUUAAAUAACCUCUGAAAGACUCCACCAAAAAUUUCAUCUUAGCAUUUCUCCCCAAACUUCAGGUAAAAUAAAAUAGAGUUGAGAGAAAAAUAGAAAGGCAAGGGAGUACCUGUUCACUAUUUUUAUUAAACCAGUGUUCUACUUUAUUUUAGGUGUAUCUUUUCUUAUUUAAAUGUCAGCUAAACUUUCUUUUUAAGAUAUUGAAUGAAAGAUGCCCGUCCUUCAGGUUUCGUUUAAGCAAGAAUCCCCAUUCUCAAAUAAUAUAAUAUAAACUUUCCAAAUUCUUAAGUAGAUCAUCUGAGAUUGAAAGCUAAGUUUAACUUUCUCAAAGAUAUUUUAGCCGCCAUGACACCUAGACAAAGUGGUAUAUUAAAUUCUGAUUAAUUUGGUCCUAAAGCACCUAAGAAUCAUUCUUACUUUCUUAUCCACAGCGGUUAUUAAGUUUUCACAUUAAAAAAAAUCCAACAGUGAAUAAUACUGCAUUGGGGUUACUGUAAUUGUUAAGUAAAAUAAGAAAUACAAAUCUUUAGUUAGAUCACAUGGCACCUGACUACUGCUUAGAAAAUGGUAAGACUUACUACAUAAAUCAUGAGUCACUAUUGACAUCUACUAUAUCAUAUCAUAGGUUAGGUAUCUAAUUAUAAAUAGUCAAAUCAGCUGACUCAAGGUGGCAUAGCUCAAGCAGAGGAAGAUAAUACAAGUUGAGUAUGGAUUUAACACUCUAAACCUGUCAGCACUGUAGGAAAAGUAACUUAAAACUGCACACCCCACUUAUGCAUAAUCAUCAGAUAUAAAGAGGGUACAUUCCUGUAAUUUAUUGUUGCUCUAGUGAUCUUAAAGAAUUAAGUCCACAUUCAUAAAGUCCAAACUUGUCUCCAAGGAUUUGCUUUGACUUUGGGAGUAUCUGGAUCAUUAAGUAAUUUCCGGAGGUCAGAGUAAAAGCUUUUUAUCUCUAAAUAUUACUUCCCUGGAAUAUUAGAUGUAGCAGAAGUCAGUAACGGAGUGACCUUUCUCUUAAACAAUUCAUAGAUUCACUGAAAUUUUCUUCAACUUUAGGAAAAUUAAAUAUAUUCCACAGUGCUGUAAGUCUUAAAUAUUGAUUUUCCUCUGAAAUCUUGACUCAUCCUACCCACCAACAUUCUCCCUUUGUACACUAUGUUCUUUGUAAUGUUCAUGUUACACAAGUGAAAAUUAGUAACAUUAGUAAAUUUUCAUUGCAGGUUUAUUUGUUCAUAUUUCUGGAUAUAUAAUCCAUUACUGUUAAACUUCAUAUCAAUGUUCCGAUAUUUCUUCAUCUUAUGUUUUAUGUUACAAAACAGGUUAUUUCACUAUAUGUAUGUUUAAUUGAUUAAUUCUUCCCUUUUUUUGGAAAUGAAACAGCACUCUCAAUUAUUGGGACAGAAAAGUUAUUUCAUAGGGAAUACUUCAAACACUGAUAUCUACAACAGGCAGUAAGAUUCGUCACAACAAUUGGUAUACUGUCAAUAUACCAUACAAAGUUCCAUCUGGUCUUGAUUAAAAAUUAUUUUAGUUUUCUCAGGAAAAUGAUACAGAGGGAGAAUUGCCUAGAUUAUAUGAGAGAAAAAAAAGUAGAGAGAAACAUAAUGUUUUCUUAGAUUAUUACAGCAGUGAACUAUUUCCACCUGGUAAGAAGGGUGCACUUGAGAAUGGGGUUCAAGUACUCUAGGAACAUAGAUGUAAGUUCUGGAUGCACAGUAGUUGUUGCUUAGCUGUAAGCUGGAAAUUUCAAGGCAGAAACAGCAGAUACCACAACUAUAACUGGGUCUCCUUGUUUUUUGUUUUAUGUGUAUACGUGAGAUUAUGGGGAAAGACAAAAGUAAUGCAUAGAGAUUUAUUUUUUAACAUUCAAUUCAUAAGCAGUGUUUAUACCUCUUUGUACUUACUUGAAAAGUGUAUAUUAUGUAAAUUUAGUAUAAAAACACUUGGACUAAUUCAUACCAUGUGGUAAAAUUUCACAUUCAAAAGAAAUACCCUUCUGUUAUUAAAAAUAAAAAAAAAAAGGAGCCAGGAGGGUGGCUCAUGACUGUAAUCCCAGUGCUCUGGGAAGCCAAGGUGGAGG
Molecule: long non-coding RNA, 2659 nt
Filed under: Homo sapiens (human)
Lineage: Eukaryota; Metazoa; Chordata; Mammalia; Primates; Hominidae
Description: non-protein coding lnc-SERF1A-5:1
Source: RNAcentral